Molecule: long non-coding RNA, 514 nt
Organism: Cottoperca gobio
Lineage: Eukaryota; Metazoa; Chordata; Actinopteri; Perciformes; Bovichtidae
Exons: 3
Source: RefSeq, a predicted model, not a curated record
UUAAAAAGCUUGAACGCAGAGGCCAGAAGAGAGUGAUUUAAGACUGGUGGAGGACCAGAACAUAACAAAACCGAUGAAUUCAGUGACUUGCUGUCUGGAAUUAUAAACCGCCAGCAACCUCUGGGUGGUAUACCAGACGGUGACCAUGUAGAAAGGUCAGAUGAAGACCUCAGCACAAAUGAGGAAAGGAAUCUAAACAGGCUUGAAGAGCCAGGGCACAAUGAGUGUGUGCCAUCCACCUGUAUUGUAACAUCCCUGAGAGAAGAUGAUGCCACCACCUUUCAGCAGAGAACAACAAAGAUGACCAUGCGUGAAAAGAUUACUGCAUGGCAUCCUGUGAGAAAAUGAAAUCGACAGCCAUGGAAGUCAUCUGUUGAACACUCCAUUCUCCCAGGAUAUGAGUGGAUGUAAUUAUGAGUGUAUAGUGCACGCUUUCCUGUUUGACUGGGCUGCUUUUCCAUUUAUAUACAUGUGUGAUAGCAUUAUCAUUUUUAUAGAAAAAUGAGGGGGAAAA